UGACAGAGUGAGACAUUACAAAAACUUGAGUUUCCAACUCUUCUGAAGUUUUCAAGUUGAGGUUUCUGUGUAUAUAUAUGUGGUUGAGAAAUGACUAUGCUACUACCUGUUACAAUAAAAACAGACGCCAAAAAGAUGUGCAGUUGCAGAAACCUACUACAAGGAGAAAAGAAUAUUAAACAAACUUUACAACCAAUAUCCUCAUUCUCACACAAAAUUUGUAGGCUGCCGCUGCUCUCUGACACUCUCUUUUUCUUUUUUACAUAAUACUAUCUGCCUGGCCUUGGUCUUUUCAAGCCUUCGUACACAUCAUCAUCACUGUCAUAGUUUGUGGACUCUGAAGCUGGUCUUUUUAUCUUAUCAAAUAUUUCAUCCAGGGAUUCAGUUGAGGAAGCACGACUGUGUCCUGCAUCUUGAACUUGAUGUAAGGCCAUGAAUCCCUUUGAUUCCAUAUUAGACUUGAAGUUGCGGAAACCUGUUUGCAUUGAUCUCCAUGUCGAGGAUAAGUCUCUAGAAGGUUGAAUUUGCAAAUCCAUCAAGGAGUUCUCAUCCCGUGACAAAGGGCGCUCCCUGUUCCUUCCAUUUGAACUCAUGCUAUUUUCUCUCUUCAUCGAUCUUGAUCUUUUUGCCUUGUACUUCCCAUUGAUCUCUUCUUUGCUGCUCUCAUGUUGUGCCUCUCCUUUUAGAGGUUUUGAAUGGCUAACAUUAUCUUCUUCUCUUAGUCUUGUCGACAGUUUUGUUUCAGGGAGCAUAAUAUUGUUUCCAGUUUCAAGAUCCAAACUUGCAUUCUGGAAAUUCCUUGCCAAUGGAACAACAAGUUCACCAACUUUAUGUCCUUGUUCAAGCCAAGAACGUUCUUUUUGCAGAAUAAUGAGUCCUGAGGGAUCAAAUCCAUCCAAAUCAUCAGCCUCUUCACUCAGGAAUUUGAAAAUUUUCCAGUUCCCAAAAUAGCUAAGGACUCGAUCAAAAAAGUUGCUCGCAAUCAAUAAGGUGUAGAUG
This 999-nucleotide unclassified non-coding RNA is filed under the name Hevea brasiliensis (rubber tree). The record is from RNAcentral. Lineage: Eukaryota; Viridiplantae; Streptophyta; Magnoliopsida; Malpighiales; Euphorbiaceae.